CACUUUCGAUAAAAAAUCCGAAAAAUGACAGACAUAUCACGUAUCAUGAUAACACUGUUAAAACUAUAAACUUGUGUUGUUUAUAAUAUAAACUAAAGUUCUCCGUGUACAUAUUGUCAAUAUUUUAUUUUAUUACUUCCAAAAAAAGGUUUUGCCUGAAGAAAAUUCAGGGGAGGCAGUUGCCUCCCCUGCCUCAUAGGUAGUUACGGCCCUG
This 214-nucleotide long non-coding RNA is filed under the name Mytilus galloprovincialis (Mediterranean mussel). The record is from RNAcentral. Lineage: Eukaryota; Metazoa; Mollusca; Bivalvia; Mytilida; Mytilidae.